This 140-nucleotide ribosomal RNA is filed under the name uncultured bacterium. RNAcentral's name for it is "partial 16S ribosomal RNA". It matches the Rfam family "Bacterial small subunit ribosomal RNA", at positions 312 to 451 of the family's 1533-position model. The record is from RNAcentral.
UCCUACUGGAGGCAGCAGUAGGGAUUCCUACGGGAGGCAGCAGUGGGGAAUAUUGCGCAAUGGGGGAAACCCUGACGCAGCAACGCCGCGUGGGUGAUGAAGGUUUUCGGAUCGUAAAACCCUGUUUUAUGGGACGAUAA